Molecule: ribosomal RNA, 261 nt
Filed under: uncultured prokaryote
Description: partial 16S ribosomal RNA
Rfam family: Bacterial small subunit ribosomal RNA
Source: RNAcentral
UACGUAGGUGGCGAGCGUUAUCCGGAAUUAUUGGGCGUAAAGAGCGCGCAGGUGGUUGAUUAAGUCUGAUGUGAAAGCCCACGGCUUAACCGUGGAGGGUCAUUGGAAACUGGUCGACUUGAGUGCAGAAGAGGGAAGUGGAAUUCCAUGUGUAGCGGUGAAAUGCGUAGAUAUCAGGAGGAACACCAAUGGCGAAGGCAGGUCUCUGGGCAGUUACUGACGCUGAGGCGCGAAAGUGUGGGGAGCAAACAGGAUUAGAUA